Molecule: unclassified non-coding RNA, 360 nt
Filed under: Hevea brasiliensis (rubber tree)
Lineage: Eukaryota; Viridiplantae; Streptophyta; Magnoliopsida; Malpighiales; Euphorbiaceae
Source: RNAcentral
CUACGGUUAAAAAAUGGUAGGAAAUCCAAUAAAAUGAAAAAAAAAUAUAUAUAAACAGAAGCAUAGCAUACGAAGCAGCCCAAUCAAAAAUUUCAGAAUCAAAUUUUUUCCAUCUUAAAUGACGAAAGGGCUAAACUACAUGCCGUUGCACAAGUCCUUGGCAGCUUUUCCAGUUGCUUCGUUUCGAUCAACCUUAAAAAGAAGAUCACUCUCUUCAAAGCCUCAAAAAUGGCAGUCCCGAGUAGCCUUGCAAAGGAAGCAGAGAUAGGUUCUUCAUGAUGGGUUUUGUUCUUGGAGGAAAGAAGGAAUUGUUCUAUUGAGAAAGAAGAAGAGGUGUUGACUUUGCAGGGAAGAAAAGAG